Molecule: long non-coding RNA, 374 nt
Filed under: Fukomys damarensis (Damara mole-rat)
Lineage: Eukaryota; Metazoa; Chordata; Mammalia; Rodentia; Bathyergidae
Description: lncRNA (ENSFDAG00000027913.1)
Source: RNAcentral
CCUUGCCCCAGAAGACUAUCCCUGUGGUGUGUUGAUGACACUGUGAUCCCCUACAGGGAGAUGAAGAGAGUUGACAGCCGUGCUCACAAGACCAGAGAUACCCAUUUGCCCACAGUACCUGAGGUGUUUCUUAUAAAAAGAGCAAGCCUGGCCCUGAAUCCCUGACUUCCAGUUGUACCAUGUGACCUUUGCCUCAAGUGUUUCUGCCAUUGUGGUGUCAGAGGGUGAAGAUAUUCAACCUCCAAAACUAUGCGUGAAAUAAACUUUUCUUUAUGAAGUACCUAGCCUCAGCUCUUUCUUUUGUUAAAGCAACAAAAAAUGGACCAGGGCAAAAGGGUUUCAACAUGUAAAUAUUCAAGUGUGGCUUCUCUCGU